UACGUAGGUGGCAAGCGUUAUCCGGAUUUACUGGGUGUAAAGGGAGCGUAGACGGUGAUGCAAGUCAGAAGUGAAAGCCCGGGGCUCAACCCCGGGACUGCAUUUGGAACUGUGCUGCUAGAGUGUCGGAGAGGCAGGCGGAAUUCCUAGUGUAGCGGUGAAAUGCGUAGAUAUCAGGAGGAACACCGGUGGCGAAGGCGGCUUACUGGACGAUGACUGACGCUGAGGCUCGAAAGCGUGGGGAGCAAACAGG
This 253-nucleotide ribosomal RNA is filed under the name uncultured Blautia sp. Its description in RNAcentral is "partial 16S ribosomal RNA". It matches the Rfam family "Bacterial small subunit ribosomal RNA", at positions 524 to 776 of the family's 1533-position model. The record is from RNAcentral. Lineage: Bacteria; Bacillati; Bacillota; Clostridia; Lachnospirales; Lachnospiraceae.